UUAGUAGCAGCCCCAAUCUUCCCCAGCACACUCAAAUCCCGCCGUUUCGCGCGCUCGUAAACUCAGAAUCUCGUUCCCGAACCUCGGCCCAACUCUAUCGAGGAUUGUAAAAAUGUUUUACUUAAGAGUGAUUUUUAACUUUUAUCCUCAUCAGAUCUUGAAGAGUACAUCCUGAUCGCAAAUACAGAAUCAAAUCAUUGUUGGUUAGAAUCAUCACCAAAUUGCGGGAAAAAAAAAGGGAGAAAGACCGAAAAGGGGAGUUAGAUUGAUAAAGACUAGAACUAUAUACUUUUUUCAGUAACUGUGUAAACAUCGUGCUAUCCUGUAGCUUGACUAUUUAGAACACUUGCGUUCAUUACUCGCAAUCAAGGAUCAUCUUCUCUGCAUAUGUACAUCUUGCCCCUCCUCUGGGUAUAUGACGCCCGCUUUUCCAGAAAGGGUUAUCUCAAGUCCUCUACUUCCCCAAACCCCCUGCACUCAAUAUCUCAAUAUAUAUACAGAUAGAAAAAAAAAAAAAAGAAAAAGAAAACAACAAUUACGGUGCACCGGUAUACAGCUGCUUCCCCCCCUUCUUAAAGGCGAGAAUAACCUUCUGCCCACGAGAACCGACAACCCACUUGGCAAACUCCUUCGCGAGCUGCAGAUCCUGCGCCUGCGCGCCAAUCAGCAAGUGCGCUGGGUUAAGCAAG
RNAcentral lists this small RNA (689 nucleotides) under Histoplasma capsulatum. Its description in RNAcentral is "hypothetical RNA". Lineage: Eukaryota; Fungi; Ascomycota; Eurotiomycetes; Onygenales; Ajellomycetaceae. The record is from RNAcentral.